RNAcentral lists this transfer RNA (63 nucleotides) under Fruticicola koreana. Its description in RNAcentral is "tRNA-Arg". The record is from RNAcentral. Lineage: Eukaryota; Metazoa; Mollusca; Gastropoda; Stylommatophora; Camaenidae.
UGUUAAAAAGCUUAGAGCUAUCAAGUUUCGGCCUUGAGAGUGGGUUUUAUUCCCUUUUAAUAA